AUGGGAACGCGAAGAACCUUACCUAGACUUGACAUCUUCUGCAUUAAUCGUAAUGGAUGAAAUCCCUUCGGGGACAGAAUGACAGGUGGUGCAUGGUUGUCGUCAGCUCGUGUCGUGAGAUGUUGGGUUAAGUCCCGCAACGAGCGCAACCCCUAUUAUUAGUUGUCUACCACUUAAGUUAGAGCACUCUAGUGAGACUGCCCGGGUUAACCCGGGUAGGAAGGCGGGGAGUGACGUCAAAUACAUCAUGCCCCUUACUGUCUAGGGCAACACACGUGCUACAAUGGUGAGUACAGAUAGAUGCGAUACCGCAAGGUGGAGCCAAACUCUAAAACUACAUCCCAGUUCGGAUUGUAGGCUGCAACUCGCCUACAUGAAGUUGGAGUUGCUAGUAAUCGCGAAUCAGAAUGUCGCGGUGAAUACGUUCCCGGGUCUUGUACACACCG
Molecule: ribosomal RNA, 446 nt
Filed under: uncultured bacterium
Lineage: Bacteria
Description: bacterial SSU rRNA
Rfam family: Bacterial small subunit ribosomal RNA
Source: RNAcentral